UCCGAUGUGGUCUAGUGGUUAGUUGCCUGCUACCUCCGAGGAGGCCGGGGUUCAAUUCCCCGCAUCGGAA
Non-coding RNA from Ramularia collo-cygni, 70 nucleotides. The record is from the annotation of a RefSeq genome assembly. Lineage: Eukaryota; Fungi; Ascomycota; Dothideomycetes; Mycosphaerellales; Mycosphaerellaceae.